RNAcentral lists this ribosomal RNA (253 nucleotides) under uncultured bacterium. RNAcentral describes it as "partial 16S ribosomal RNA". It matches the Rfam family "Bacterial small subunit ribosomal RNA", at positions 524 to 776 of the family's 1533-position model. The record is from RNAcentral.
UACAGAGGGUGCGAGCGUUAAUCGGAAUUACUGGGCGUAAAGCGUGCGUAGACGGUAGCGUAAGUCAGAUGUGAAAGCCCCGGGCUCAACCUGGGAACUGCAUUUGAGACUGCUCUGCUCGGGUGCGGAAGAGGGAAGCGGAAUUUCCGGUGUAGCGGUGAAAUGCGCAGAUAUCGGGAAGAACACCCGUGGCUAAGGCGGCUCUCUAGUACGGUACUGACGCUGAGGAGCGAAAGCGUGGGGAGCGAACAGG